RNAcentral lists this ribosomal RNA (253 nucleotides) under uncultured bacterium. Its description in RNAcentral is "partial 16S ribosomal RNA". It matches the Rfam family "Bacterial small subunit ribosomal RNA", at positions 524 to 776 of the family's 1533-position model. The record is from RNAcentral.
UACGUAGGGGGCAAGCGUUGUCCGGAUUUAUUGGGCGUAAAGAGCGUGUAGGCGGUUUGGUAGGUCCGUUGUGAAAACUCGAGGCUCAACCUCGAGACGCCGGCGGAAACCAUCAGGCUAGAGUCCGGAAGAGGAGAGUGGAAUUCCUGGUGUAGCGGUGAAAUUCGUAGAUAUUGGAAAGAACACCGACGGCGAAGGCAGCCGUCUGGACCGACACUGACGCUGAGGCGCGAAAGCGUGGGGAGCAAACAGG